This is a long non-coding RNA of Haliotis rubra (blacklip abalone), 606 nucleotides long. RefSeq lists it as uncharacterized. The transcript has 2 exons. The record is from RefSeq and is a predicted model, not a curated record. NCBI's taxonomy places the organism in Eukaryota, Metazoa, Mollusca, Gastropoda, Lepetellida, Haliotidae.
GAGUGAGGGAGUGAGUGUUUGAGUGCGUAUGCCGAUGCGCAUUAUUCCAAUCACUUGAUUGUUUGGUCUAGAUUUGAUUACUUACAGACAGCCGUCCUAUAGCUUGGAUAGAUGUGAGUGGCUUUAAACAAUCAUGAUACAAGCCUAUAUAUGUUGGUUUAAUUGUUGCACAACGUGGAUUAUUGCUUGUCCAAGGAAGACAUAUUUUGAAAAACAUUCAAACUAAAUGUGUGUCCAGAUCUAUCGCCUUGGUUACGAGGUAAGGGUCACAGGAUAGCGUGUUGGCCUAGUGGUAAAACCUGGUUCGAGUCUCAACAGUGACACGUACAUUUCGUUAAACUCUACCUUGUGAUACUCCGAAUACCGCUGGAUAAAACUUAAUCAAUUCACCUACUGGAUCCACGGAGUGAAACAGGGGUGAACUACUGAUUAAAGGUGAAAGGGAGGCAACUCUACACAGCAUCGCUUCUCCUCGGACACCCCUCUUCACGAAAUGGUCGGAUAUAUGGGGGCGUGGUGGGUGAGCUGGGCGAGCUGCCUAAGGUGCCAGGUUAGUGAUCCAGCGAGCUUUGAGGUGCCGGGAUCGAGCCCACCUGUGACCGGGUG